AACAUCAAUCCCCAGUGGUUUUCUGAACCGCAGGUGGACUUGGACCUGGGCGUCUGCCUCACAAGGCUCGCCUCAAAUGACUCAGUGGGAACUUCUUGACCUACGCCUGACGUGAUAAGUUUCGUCUCGGCCGGUCUCGAGGCCCGCUCACAACAACCCAUAUCUUUGA
This 169-nucleotide unclassified non-coding RNA is filed under the name uncultured Kockovaella. Its description in RNAcentral is "sequence contains ITS2". Lineage: Eukaryota; Fungi; Basidiomycota; Tremellomycetes; Tremellales; Cuniculitremaceae. The record is from RNAcentral.